UACACAGUUGUACCUUGUGAACCGUACCAAACUAUUCAGGGGUCGGCUUGUCCGUUAAAUGGUCGUCGGACGCGAGAGAUCGCGGCCGCUCGACCGGCCCCGCACGCGUUUUGUUUUUUAUAAACAUAUGUGUACCUGUCUGACCAAGCGUUGAGGCCGGCCCAAGGGUCGGUCGCAGCAAUUAGAGCAAAAAACGAGAUACAACUUUUGACGGUGGAUCUCUUGGCUCACGCAUCGAUGAAGAACGCAGCCAGCUGCGAUAAGUAGUGUGAAUUGCAGAAUUCAGUGAAUCAUCGAAUCUUUGAACGCAAAUGGCGCUCUUGGGUUCUCCCAGGAGCAUGUCUGUCUGAGUGUCGGAUAUCAUCCAACGCACGCCAGCGUGCGGAAUUGAGGCGUCACGGUCCGUACUGCACGGACCGUGUCCCUUGAAAGUCAGAGAGACUCGCCGCGUCGCGGGAAGAUUCCCCGUGCACACCAGCGGAGGCUAAAAUGUCUUUUGCCCUUCGCGUGCCGGGAAGUCGCCGCGUGCGGCGGUCGUCGUCGGGCGAUC
This 550-nucleotide ribosomal RNA is filed under the name Desmophyllum dianthus. Its description in RNAcentral is "eukaryotic LSU rRNA". The stretch from base 203 to 356 matches the Rfam family "5.8S ribosomal RNA". The record is from RNAcentral. Lineage: Eukaryota; Metazoa; Cnidaria; Anthozoa; Scleractinia; Caryophylliidae.